RNAcentral lists this ribosomal RNA (390 nucleotides) under uncultured Ectothiorhodospiraceae bacterium. Its description in RNAcentral is "bacterial SSU rRNA". It matches the Rfam family "Bacterial small subunit ribosomal RNA", at positions 97 to 519 of the family's 1533-position model. The record is from RNAcentral. Lineage: Bacteria; Pseudomonadati; Pseudomonadota; Gammaproteobacteria; Chromatiales; Ectothiorhodospiraceae.
GGCGGACGGGUGUCGCAAUGCAUAGGAAUCUGCCCUGUAGCGGGGGACAACUUAGGGAAACUUAAGCUAAUACCGCAUACGACCUACGGGUGAAAGACUUCGGUCACUAUAGGAUGAGCCUAUGUCUGAUUAGCUAGUUGGUAGGGUAAAGGCCUACCAAGGCGACGAUCAGUAGCUGGUCUGAGAGGACGAUCAGCCACACUGGGACUGAGACACGGCCCAGACUCCUACGGGAGGCAGCAGUGGGGAAUAUUGGACAAUGGGCGAAAGCCUGAUCCAGCAAUGCCGCGUGUGUGAAGAAGGCCUGCGGGUUGUAAAGCACUUUCAGCUGGAAAGAUGAUGACGGUACCAGCAGAAGAAGCACCGGCUAACUCCGUGCCAGCAGCCGCG